AUGCACCAGAUACUGACCUGACCGCCUGCAGCUCAGUUGAGUUUUAUUCUUCCCACACUGAUGCGUGCAUUAUGGUGGCCUUCAGGUCCAAAAGCGGUGCUAGAGAAACAAGACCCUGAGAUUUAAGCUCUGAGAGAGGAGUCACUCCUCAGGUGUUAUAACUCCAGGGCACAUCA
Molecule: non-coding RNA, 176 nt
Organism: Pimephales promelas (fathead minnow)
Lineage: Eukaryota; Metazoa; Chordata; Actinopteri; Cypriniformes; Leuciscidae
Product: small Cajal body-specific RNA 1
Source: RefSeq, a predicted model, not a curated record